GAAAUCCCUCGGGAUGUAAACUUCGCAAGAUUGGGAAGAAUUAGUAGGGGUUAAUACCCCCUAUGAUGACGGUACCUUUUGUAAGCUCCGGCUAACUCCGUGCCAGCAGCCGCGGUAAUACGGGGGGAGCAAGCGUUGUUCGGAUUUACUGGGCGUAAAGGGCGCGUAGGCGGUCAGCACAAGUCAGUUGUGAAAUCUCCGGGCUUAACUCGGAAAGGUCAACUGAUACUGUGCGACUAGAGUGCAGAAGGGGCAACUGGAAUUCUCGGUGUAGCGGUGAAAUGCGUAGAUAUCGAGAGGAACACCUGCGGCGAAGGCGGGUUGCUGGGCUGACACUGACGCUGAGGCGCGAAAGCCAGGGGAGCGAACGGGAUUAGAUACCCCGGUAGUCCUGGCCUUAAACGAUGGAUGCUUGGUGUCUGGAGUUAUAUAGUCUCCGGGUGCCGUAGCUAACGCGUUAAGCAUCCCGCCUGGGGAGUACGGUCGCAAGACUGAAACUCAAA
RNAcentral lists this ribosomal RNA (503 nucleotides) under uncultured bacterium. RNAcentral's name for it is "bacterial SSU rRNA". It matches the Rfam family "Bacterial small subunit ribosomal RNA", at positions 410 to 905 of the family's 1533-position model. The record is from RNAcentral.